Molecule: long non-coding RNA, 312 nt
Organism: Prionailurus viverrinus (fishing cat)
Lineage: Eukaryota; Metazoa; Chordata; Mammalia; Carnivora; Felidae
Exons: 3
Source: RefSeq, a predicted model, not a curated record
GUCAUGCGAUUGUGGGCGUGGAAGGAGGAGACGAGGCGCAGGUGGUCCAGGAGAAGCAUCAGCGUGGCCUGAGAGAAGAAGGGGGAACUCAACAGACGUGGCUGGAAUCAUCUGGAGGCACGGUCACUCACAGGUCCUGAGGGCUGGGACCUCUUCACAGGCUGUGGACUAGGGCUGCUACGUGGGCCUCUCCCUACGGUCCGGCCUUCUUCCCAGCAGUGCCCAGGGUCGACUUAAAAAGCUGAAGUCGGAUUCCAGCACGCCCCACCCCUGCUGUAGUCUUUCCAUGACUGCUCAUCCCGCCUAGAAUAA